AGGUGAUAAAAGAAGGGAAAGGGAAAGGAGUAUUAUUACGAUUCUUGUUAGACUUUAGCACAGGCAAGGAGAAGGAGCAAACAAUUUCGACAAUACCAAAGGAUAAGUGAACAAUUUGGGGAGUUGUCAAGGUAAAAGAUUGUGUCACUACUGACAGGUCUAAAGUCUUGAGUGUGAAUGGGGGAUAGAACAAUGGAACGUAUUUUAUAUAAGAUGUAAAUAUUGUAAUAAAACUUACUAGUGUAACUUGUAAUUAACGGUUUAGUUUUGUCGGAACUUGCAUAACAUGCCUAUAAUUUGUUGUAAAUUGUAAACUAUUAAGCAGGUAUUCUGAUGUAUGAUGACCUCAUGUUUGAAUGAGGUUA
Cornus florida is the source of this 365-nucleotide long non-coding RNA. RefSeq lists it as uncharacterized. The transcript has 3 exons. NCBI's taxonomy places the organism in Eukaryota, Viridiplantae, Streptophyta, Magnoliopsida, Cornales, Cornaceae. The record is from RefSeq and is a predicted model, not a curated record.